AGUGAACGCUGGCGGUAGGCCUAACACAUGCAAGUCGAACGGCAGCACAGUAAGAGCUUGCUCUUACGGGUGGCGAGUGGCGGACGGGUGAGGAAUACAUCGGAAUCUACUUUUUCGUGGGGGAUAACGUAGGGAAACUUACGCUAAUACCGCAUACGACCUACGGGUGAAAGCAGGGGAUCUUCGGACCUUGCGCGAUUGAAUGAGCCGAUGUCGGAUUAGCUAGUUGGCGGGGUAAAGGCCAACCAAGGCGACGAUCCGUAGCUGGUCUGAGAGGGUGGUCAGCCACACUGGAAGUGAGACACGGUCCAGACUCCUACGGGGGGCAGCAGUGGGGAAUAUUGGACAAUGGGCGCAAGCCUGAUCCAGCCAUACCGCGUGGGUGAAGAAGGCCUUCGGGUUGUAAAGCCCUUUUGUUGGGAAAGAAAAGCAGCAGGUUAAUACCCCGCUGUUCUGACGGUACCCAAAGAAUAAGCACCGGCUAACUUCGUG
Molecule: ribosomal RNA, 492 nt
Filed under: uncultured bacterium
Lineage: Bacteria
Description: partial 16S ribosomal RNA
Rfam family: Bacterial small subunit ribosomal RNA
Source: RNAcentral